This 292-nucleotide long non-coding RNA is filed under the name Physcomitrium patens. Its description in RNAcentral is "long non-coding RNA (PPAT_LNC001439)". Lineage: Eukaryota; Viridiplantae; Streptophyta; Bryopsida; Funariales; Funariaceae. The record is from RNAcentral.
AUUUAAAAUAAAAAUAUUUAAAGAAAUAACAAAGAAUCUUUAAAAAAUAUUUAAAAUAGAAAUCUUAAUAUAAUCUUAAUUAAAAUUAUAAUUGAAUCUUAAUCAAAUUUUGAAUCAAAUUUUAAUUGAAAUCCUAAUUGAACCUUAAUCAAAUCCUAUAUCAAAUCUUGAUAAAAUUCUAAUAAAAUCCAAAAUACUAGACAAAUCUAAAAUAAUUUUUAAUCCAAACCUUCAACAAAUCUUAAUUCUAAUCAAUUCCUAGACCAAAUCUUAAACCAAACCUUAAUCAAAU